Plasmodiophora brassicae is the source of this 73-nucleotide transfer RNA. It matches the Rfam family "tRNA". From Rfam's summary of the family: Transfer RNA (tRNA) molecules are approximately 80 nucleotides in length. The record is from Rfam. Lineage: Eukaryota; Endomyxa; Phytomyxea; Plasmodiophorida; Plasmodiophoridae.
GGGGGGUUGGCGCAGCUGGCAGCGCGUGGGAUUCCAGACCCCAAGGUCAUGCGUUCAAAUCGCAUACCCCUCA